RNAcentral lists this ribosomal RNA (393 nucleotides) under uncultured bacterium. RNAcentral's name for it is "bacterial SSU rRNA". It matches the Rfam family "Bacterial small subunit ribosomal RNA", at positions 28 to 414 of the family's 1533-position model. The record is from RNAcentral.
GACGAACGCUGACGGUGUGCUUUAGACAUGCAAGUCGAACGAGAAAGCCCUUCGGGUUAGUAAAGUGGCGAACGGGUGAGUAACACGUGGGCAAUCUGCCCCUCGCAGGGGGACGAACCGGAGGAAACCCCGGCUAAUACCCCGUAAGUUCAAAGGGAGGCAUCUCCCCUUGAAGAAAGGUAGCUUCGGCCAUCCGGCGAGGGAUGAGCCCGCGGUGCAUUAGCUAGUUGGUGGGGUAACGGCCCACCAAGGCGACGAUGCAUAGCUGGUCUGAGAGGAUGAUCAGCCACACUGGGACUGAGACACGGCCCAGACUCCUACGGGAGGCAGCAGUCGGGAAUCUUGCGCAAUGGGCGAAAGCCUGACGCAGCAACACCGUGUGUGUGAGGAAGG